This 253-nucleotide ribosomal RNA is filed under the name uncultured bacterium. Its description in RNAcentral is "partial 16S ribosomal RNA". It matches the Rfam family "Bacterial small subunit ribosomal RNA", at positions 524 to 776 of the family's 1533-position model. The record is from RNAcentral.
UACGUAGGAUCCUAGCGUUGUCCGGAUUUACUGGGUGUAAAGGGUGCGCAGGCGGGCUGGUAAGUCAGGGGUGAAAUCUCGGCGCUUAACGCCGAAACUGCCUUUGAUACUAUCAGUCUUGAGUUUGGUAGAGAUCCGUGGAAUUCCGAGUGUAGCAGUGAAAUGUGUAGAUAUUCGGAAGAACACCAGUGGCGAAGGCAGCGGAUUGGGCCAAUACUGACGCUCAGGCACGAAAGCAUGGGGAUCAAACAGG